RNAcentral lists this signal recognition particle RNA (100 nucleotides) under Paludibacteraceae bacterium. RNAcentral's name for it is "signal recognition particle sRNA small type". It matches the Rfam family "Bacteroidales small SRP". Rfam says of the family: The non-coding component of the signal recognition particle in Bacteroides The record is from RNAcentral. Lineage: Bacteria; Pseudomonadati; Bacteroidota; Bacteroidia; Bacteroidales; Paludibacteraceae.
GGGUAAGUCCUACACGACCAGCUCCCUCUGAACUCCCCCAGGUCUUGACCGAAGCAAGGGUAGGAGGUUGUAGCGGUGCGAUGUAGUUAGCUUACCCUUU